UACGAGGGGGGCGAGCGUUGUUCGGAAUUACUGGGCGUAAAGAGCGUGUAGGCGGUUCGAUAAGUCGAGUGUGAAAGCCCGAGGCUUAACUUCGGAAGUGCACUCGAAACUGCCGUGCUCGAGUGUGGGAGAGGUGCGUGGAAUUCCCGGUGUAGCGGUGAAAUGCGUAGAUAUCAAGCGGAACACCAGUGGCGAAGGCGAGUCCCUGGACAACUCCUGACACUGAGGCACGAAAGCUAGGGGAGCAAAC
RNAcentral lists this ribosomal RNA (250 nucleotides) under uncultured bacterium. Its description in RNAcentral is "partial 16S ribosomal RNA". It matches the Rfam family "Bacterial small subunit ribosomal RNA", at positions 524 to 773 of the family's 1533-position model. The record is from RNAcentral.